This 553-nucleotide ribosomal RNA is filed under the name uncultured archaeon. Its description in RNAcentral is "bacterial SSU rRNA". It matches the Rfam family "Archaeal small subunit ribosomal RNA", at positions 325 to 879 of the family's 1478-position model. The record is from RNAcentral.
UCGGGGUGCCCAGGCGCGAAAACUUUACAAUGCCGGCAACGGCGAUAAGGGGACCUCGAGUGCCAGGUUACAAAUCUGGCUGUCGUGAUGCCUAAAAAGCAUUGCAUAGCAAGGGCCGGGCAAGACCGGUGCCAGCCGCCGCGGUAACACCGGCGGCUCGAGUGGUAACCGUUAUUAUUGGGUCUAAAGGGUCUGUAGCCGGCCGGAUAAGUCUCUUGGGAAAUCCAGCAGCUCAACUGUUGGGCUUUCAGGAGAUACUGUCUGGCUCGAGGCCGGGAGAGGUGAGAGGUACUUCAGGGGUAGGGGUGAAAUCUUGUAAUCCUUGAAGGACCACCAGUGGCGAAGGCGUCUCACCAGAACGGACCUGACGGCAAGGGACGAAAGCUAGGGGCACGAACCGGAUUAGAUACCCGGGUAGUCCCAGCCGUAAACGAUGCUCGCUAGGUGUCAGACAUGGCGCGACCGUGUCUGGUGCCGCAGGGAAGCCGUGAAGCGAGCCACCUGGGAAGUACGGCCGCAAGGCUGAAACUUAAAGGAAUUGGCGGGGGAGCAC